UUAUUAUCUCUCAUCUUUGUAUCGUCGUCUCUCUCCGUAUCGCUAUCGGCUAUCGUCUCUCUCUAUCUAUUUGUUCUCUCUUUUUGUGUAUCUCUCUUCUCUAUCUCCCCCCCCUCUUUUUUAUUCUCAUAUUUAUAAUAGAAUGGGAGAUCUAAGGAGCGAUUCGUGGGGUUAGGCGAGAAAUAUUUUGAGGAGUUGGUUAGGGAUUCGAAAUUCGAAAUCGAAUUUUGAACCGUUUGUUGGAGGGAUAGGUAUUCGAAAUUCGAAUGGAUGUGAUUGGUUAGGAGAUAUUUUGGGAGUUGGUUGGUUGGUUAGGAGAUAUUUUGGGAGUUGGUUGCGGUUGGUUGGAAGAUAUUUUGGGAGUUGAUUGUGGUUUGUUGAGAGAUAUCCCAGUUGGUUGAGAAUUUGAAAUCAAAUUUCGAAUGGGGUUGUUAGGAUAACAGAUAUUUUCUUGGGUGUGGAUAUGGGCCGUCAUUGAUUGGGCCCACUUUAAUUAAAUUUGAGGCCCACAAACUCAUGUUAAUGAAUGGGCCUAUUGAAUGGAUUUAAAAUAUGAAAUUUUUUUUUUCACUUCAAACAAUCGAAUGAUGAAAAGGCAUCAAAAAUAAUAAUUUUAAUGGCCGGUAUAAGAUCUUUUGUAGUUUAAUGAUAUAAUAAUUGGAAUUGGUCAAAUUUUUGACAGAAAAUUGGUUGAAUUGGUCGAAUAAUUGAUAAUUUUUCACAACUUAAAGAUGUUGAAGUAAAAUGAAAGGAUUUUAAUCAUCGGUCAAGAAAAUAAAUCUAAAG
RNAcentral lists this long non-coding RNA (786 nucleotides) under Ananas comosus (pineapple). Its description in RNAcentral is "long non-coding RNA (ACOM_LNC013483)". Lineage: Eukaryota; Viridiplantae; Streptophyta; Magnoliopsida; Poales; Bromeliaceae. The record is from RNAcentral.